UUAACACAUGCAAGUCGAGGGGAAACGACAUCGAAAGCUUGCUUUUGAUGGGCGUCGACCGGCGCACGGGUGAGUAACGCGUAUCCAACCUGCCCACCACUUGGGGAUAACCUUGCGAAAGUAAGACUAAUACCCAAUGACGUCUCUAGAAGACAUCUGAAAGAGAUUAAAGAUUUAUCGGUGAUGGAUGGGGAUGCGUCUGAUUAGCUUGUUGGCGGGGUAACGGCCCACCAAGGCAACGAUCAGUAGGGGUUCUGAGAGGAAGGUCCCCCACAUUGGAACUGAGACACGGUCCAAACUCCUACGGGAGGCAGCAGUGAGGAAUAUUGGUCAAUGGACGAGAGUCUGAACCAGCCAAGUAGCGUGCAGGAUGACGGCCCUAUGGGUUGUAAACUGCUUUUAUAAGGGAAUAAAGUGAGUCUCGUGAGACUUUUUGCAUGUACCUUAUGAAUAAGGACCGGCUAAUUCCGUGCCAGCAGCCGCGGUAAUACGGAAGGUCCGGGCGUUAUCCGGAUUUAUUGGGUUUAAAGGGAGCGUAGGCCGGAGAUUAAGCGUGUUGUGAAAUGUAGACGCUCAACGUCUGCACUGCAGCGCGAACUGGUUUCCUUGAGUACGCACAAAGUGGGCGGAAUUCGUGGUGUAGCGGUGAAAUGCUUAGAUAUCACGAAGAACUCCGAUUGCGAAGGCAGCUCACUGGAGCGCAACUGACGCUGAAGCUCGAAAGUGCGGGUAUCGAACAGGAUUAGAUACCCUGGUAGUCCGCACGGUAAACGAUGGAUGCCCGCUGUUGGUCUGAAUAGGUCAGCGGCCAAGCGAAAG
Molecule: ribosomal RNA, 819 nt
Filed under: uncultured bacterium
Lineage: Bacteria
Description: bacterial SSU rRNA
Rfam family: Bacterial small subunit ribosomal RNA
Source: RNAcentral